GUGCUCACUUUGGCAGCACACAUACUAAAAUUGGAAUGAUACAGAGAAGAUUAGCAUGGCCCCUACCCAAGGUUGACACGCAAAUUCGUGAAGCAUUCCACAUUUUG
This 107-nucleotide small nuclear RNA is filed under the name Myotis davidii. Lineage: Eukaryota; Metazoa; Chordata; Mammalia; Chiroptera; Vespertilionidae. The record is from RNAcentral.